GUCCUAUCCUACGCGGCGGAAGCGUGUGCCCUUUGACUUGCAUCGUCUACCUACCUCUGCCAUCCUCUACCAGCCGCAACUGCGAGGGCUGGAGUUUUUUACAGGAGUGGGACAACGCUGGCAAAGUCGCAAGGAGUCACAUCCUCGACAAGUUCAUUGAAACCAACCAAGGCAAGACUGCCCCUGAACUGGAGCAGGAGUUUUCCCAGGGAGCCAGUUUGUUCCUGGUGUACGAUCCAUAGCAGAAUUUUUGGCAAAGUCUAAGUCAGAAGAGACCCAGGAGGAAGUGCAGGUUCUGUUGGAUUCUUUGGUCCACGGCAAUCCCAAGUACCAAAAUCAAGUGUAUAAAGGUCUAAUAGCUUUGCUGCCCUGCGAGUCCCCGAAAGCCCAGCAGCUGUCCCUGCAGACUCUCAGGACUGCCCAGCCAAUCAUUGGGACCACACACCCCAGCAUCGUGGACUGCGUGCUGAAGGUGCUGGGCACGAUGCACCUGGAAGUCCAGUAUGAAGCCAUCGAGUUGAUCAAGGACCUGGUCGGUUACGAUGUGCGCCAGGCGCUGCUCAAAGGCCUCGUGGCGCUGCUGAUACCGUCGGUCAAGGAGACCUCCAAACUGCAGGCCAAGAUCCUCAGUGGUAAGGACCUGCUCAAAUGGGGCUGCCUGGGCCACGGGAGGGCGGUCUCUUGCCUCACGGCUGCCCCCUCCUCAGACCCCUCGGUUCUCCAGCUCACCC
This 731-nucleotide small RNA is filed under the name Pan troglodytes (chimpanzee). RNAcentral's name for it is "processed transcript". The record is from RNAcentral. Lineage: Eukaryota; Metazoa; Chordata; Mammalia; Primates; Hominidae.